UGAUUGGUCGCAGGCCUCCCUGAAAGCAGGCAUAGCAGACUGUCGGUUUGAACAUGCAGGGGGGGUGACUGGAGGGGAUCAUUUCCAUGGACCAUCUGUCUCUCUGGCUGCAUUCACAACAAAGAAGGACCCAGGAUGGUGUUAGUCCAUGUCGGAUAUCUGGUUCUCCCCGUCUUCGGCUCAGUUAGAAACAGAGUAUCGAGGCUGGCUCUACAUUCCGCAUUUCUCAGACCUUUGUCCCCCUCCAUUGUGUAGCUAACGAUCAUCUGCUGCUGUCUGCCGUAUAGCCUCUGCCUGUUCUCUGCAUCUAGCUGUUAUUGUGAACCCCUUCUUCCUCAUUUCCUCUUUCCAUCUGAAGAAGACAUUGGCAUUAAAAAACAAACAAACAAACAAACCGAGUUCCCCCCACUCAUACCGUAUCCUUCUAUGUAACAGACUAAAGAAUAACACUUUCUGUAGAAAACAGUUUGUCUUUAUUUAAACUGUCAUGUUGCUCUUUAGUGAAUAACCCAUUAUUGUAGACUUUACUACAGGCUGUCAUUGUGAUUCUUCCCAUUCAGUGUGGAUAGACUACAUUCUGCUGUAAAUUUCUGUAAAGUGGAUACAUUUUGAUCCUCCUGGAUUCGAUUACAGCCAGGCUUGAUCGAACUGUAUGGUUACUGUCUCCAUCCUGUAUUUGGAUAAAGGUGCAUUGUACCAGCAUAUUUUUUUCUUUAACUCAUUUUAUAAUUUAUGCAUUUACUAAUUGGUCAAAAACAUUCGUAGAGCUGGGGAAAAUCACGCCAGUUUCUAACGUAUUAUUUUCACCUCUGAUGGUCCACUGCACCUGUUAAAGUGAUGUCCAAACAGCCGGUCAUAACCCUUAUCCAUGUGUCAAAGCCUGUGUUCCUGCUGGCCGAAUUGAUUUCACAAUAAACCGGCGAGACACAUUUUCUAGCUCGUCUUGGGGGAGAAAAAAAAAUAACCCACUGUCAUGCACAACGCCCCUCCUCCUUCUCGAGUCUUUCCUCCAGAAUGCUAUCCAUUUUACAGAGAUGUGUAUAUCCUGCACUGCUGUAGAACUCCUUUUUUUAGAGUCAAAAUGUCUUUUUUUAUUCUUUGGUUGUGGUUUUUUCUACCUUAUGUUUUUGAUUUGAGUUCUUUAUUUUGUAUUAGAACCUAAUGCAUGGUCAUUUUUAUACCUUUGUUUUUUCCACAUUGAACAGCAGAUUCUAAUGUACUCUUUGUGUAGAGAUGUCCCUGCUGUACUGAAAUGUGCUGUAAGCAUUACACAUCUACUCAUUGGAUGCUGCUUCUGUUUUGUUAACCCUAUACAGAAAGCAUGGUCAGGCCUCACUUUUUGUCAAAUUUGCAUGUUAUUAUUAUUAUUAUUAUUAUUAUUAUGGCUAUGUAGGACAUAUAUAAUACUCUUAUUAUUACUAUUAUCACACAGUGCCACACGUACUAAUAUUUUCCAAUAAAGACUGUAGUUCUCUUCCUAA
Austrofundulus limnaeus is the source of this 1481-nucleotide long non-coding RNA. RefSeq lists it as uncharacterized. The transcript has 2 exons. NCBI's taxonomy places the organism in Eukaryota, Metazoa, Chordata, Actinopteri, Cyprinodontiformes, Rivulidae. The record is from RefSeq and is a predicted model, not a curated record.